GGUUACGGAUCACCUCUUGGAGCUGGAGGUCAAGGUCCAUAUGGAGGUGCAGGUGCAGGGAAGGAUGGCAGCAAGGCUGGAGGAGCAGGUUACUACGGUACCGGCAUCAAAGGCUGAUUUCCGGGCCCCUGAGGUGUGACCCAGUGUGACGACGUUGUGGUGGUGGUGCUGUCCUCAUCCUCCCCCCUCCCCCCUCUCUCGCCCCUCUCGCCCGUCCUCGUCAUCUUUCGUGACCUUUUCUCUUGUUCUUGUUGACCUGGUGCUUAUGGUUGUUGUCUCCUGCUGUCUCUGUGUGUCCAUGCAGUCCUUCUGUUGUGUUUUGUUCUGUUGUUUUGGGUCCGAAUGUUUUGUGUCAUGUCCAUUCCUUGUCUCUGUAUCUAACUAAAACCUCUUGAGCACUUCUUUUGGUUGUUAUUGUCAAUUCUUAUUAACACUAAAAGUGUCUCCUCACUCA
This is a long non-coding RNA of Clarias gariepinus (North African catfish), 454 nucleotides long. RefSeq lists it as uncharacterized. The transcript is spliced from 3 exons. The record is from RefSeq and is a predicted model, not a curated record. Lineage: Eukaryota; Metazoa; Chordata; Actinopteri; Siluriformes; Clariidae.